CUUUGCUGACGACCGGCGCACGGGUGCGUAACGCGUAUACAAUCUGCCUUGUACUGGGGGAUAGCCUUUAGAAAUGAAGAUUAAUACCCCAUAGUAUGUAGAGUUCGCAUGGACUUUACAUUAAAGGUUACGGUACAAGAUGAGUAUGCGUCCUAUUAGCUAGAUGGAGUGGUAACGGCACCCCAUGGCAACGAUAGGUAGGGGCCCUGAGAGGGGGAUCCCCCACACUGGUACUGAGACACGGACCAGACUCCUACGGGAGGCAGCAGUGAGGAAUAUUGGACAAUGGAGGCAACUCUGAUCCAGCCAUGCCGCGUGCAGGAAGACUGCCCUAUGGGUUGUAAACUGCUUUUAUACGGGAAGAAACCACUCUACGUGUAGAGUCUUGACGGUACCGUAAGAAUAAGGAUCGGCUAACUCCGUGCCAGCAGCCGCGGUAAUACGGAGGAUCCAAGCGUUAUCCGGAAUCAUUGGGUUUAAAGGGUCCGUAGGUGGACUGGUCAGUCAGAGGUGAAAUCCUGCAGCUUAACUGUAGAACUGCCUUUGAUACUGCUAGUCUUGAAUCAUUAUGAAGUGGUUAGAAUAUGUAGUGUAGCGGUGAAAUGCAUAGAUAUUACAUAGAAUACCAAUUGCGAAGGCAGAUCACUAAUAAUGUAUUGACACUGAUGGACGAAAGCGUAGGUAGCGAACGGGAUUAGAUACCCCGGUAGUCUACGCCGUAAACGAUGGAUACUAGCUGUUGGGCUUCGGUUCAGUGGCUAAGCGAAAGUGAUAAGUAUCCCACCUGGGGAGUACGUUCGCAAGAAUGAAACUCAAAGGAAUUGACGGGGGCCCGCACAAGCGGUGGAGCAUGUGGUUUAAUUCGAUGAUACGCGAGGAACCUUACCAGGGCUUAAAUGUAGAGUGACAGGUCUAGAGAUAGAUUUUUCUUCGGACACUUUACAAGGUGCUGCAUGGUUGUCGUCAGCUCGUGCCGUGAG
Molecule: ribosomal RNA, 980 nt
Filed under: uncultured bacterium
Lineage: Bacteria
Description: bacterial SSU rRNA
Rfam family: Bacterial small subunit ribosomal RNA
Source: RNAcentral